GUGGGGAAUAUUGGACAAUGGGGGGAACCCUGAUCCAGUCAUGCCGCGUGUGUGAAGAAGGCCUUUUGGUUGUAAAGCACUUUAAGCGAGGAGGAGGCUACCGAGAUUAAUACUCUUGGAUAGUGGACGUUACUCGCAGAAUAAGCACCGGCUAACUCUGUGCCAGCAGCCGCGGUAAUACAGAGGGUGCAAGCGUUAAUCGGAUUUACUGGGCGUAAAGCGCGCGUAGGUGGCCAAUUAAGUCAAAUGUGAAAUCCCCGAGCUUAACUUGGGAAUUGCAUUCGAUACUGGUUGGCUAGAGUAUGGGAGAGGAUGGUAGAAUUCCAGGUGUAGCGGUGAAAUGCGUAGAGAUCUGGAGGAAUACCGAUGGCGAAGGCAGCCAUCUGGCCUAAUACUGACACUGAGGUGCGAAAGCAUGGGGAGCAAACAGGAUUAGAAACCCCUGUAGUCC
RNAcentral lists this ribosomal RNA (451 nucleotides) under uncultured bacterium. RNAcentral describes it as "partial 16S ribosomal RNA". It matches the Rfam family "Bacterial small subunit ribosomal RNA", at positions 354 to 796 of the family's 1533-position model. The record is from RNAcentral.